GUGUGGCCCAGGAACAAGUCCUAGGGCCGCAAUGUGCGUUCGAAAUGUCGAUGUUCACGUGUCCUGCAGUUCACAUGGCAACGCGCAAUUAGCUGCGUUCUUCAUCGAUCCACGAGCCGAGUGAU
Molecule: ribosomal RNA, 125 nt
Filed under: Limothrips denticornis
Lineage: Eukaryota; Metazoa; Arthropoda; Insecta; Thysanoptera; Thripidae
Description: 5.8S ribosomal RNA
Source: RNAcentral